AACGAACGCUGGCGGCAGGCUUAACACAUGCAAGUCGAGCGCGCCCUUCGGGGUUAGCGGCGGUCGGGUGAGUAACGCGUGGGAACGUGCCCUUUUCUACGGAAUCGUCUCGGUUAACUGAGCGUAAUACAGUAUAGGCUAAUAGGGGGUAAGAUGUCUCGGAAAAGGAUCGGCGCGCGUUGGUUUAGGUAGUUGGUGGGGUAUUGGCCUACCAAGACGACGAUGCAUGGCUGGUUUGUGAGGAUGAUCAAGCGGGCUGGGACUGAGACACGGCCCAGACUGCGAGGCAACGCAGCAGUAGGGAGUCUUAUACGAUGAAGGCAACCGUAGUCAAGCCAUGCCGCGUAAGACAGGAAGGCCGUAGUGUUGUAAAUCUCUUUCUGCUGAAAAGAGAAUGACGGUACCAGGUAAAGAAGCCCCGGCUAACUCCGUG
Molecule: ribosomal RNA, 433 nt
Filed under: uncultured bacterium
Lineage: Bacteria
Description: partial 16S ribosomal RNA
Rfam family: Bacterial small subunit ribosomal RNA
Source: RNAcentral